UUUAACUGUACUAUAUUUGAUGCGAAUAUGUCUUUUUUUCAUUGUAUACAUUAUUUUUGAUAAUUUCAGUUGUCACCUGUGAGUCACAUUGAAAAGAGACGGGUGAAACUUUUCUGCCCCAUAAUAUCACAUCCGUCAAAAGAUUUUUCAGCCACUCAGUUUCUUACCCUACCCACUUGAAAGCAGUGAAUUCAAAUUUAAUGGUAGAAUGUGCUAUACAAGUCUGUUUUGAAGACUUUCAUGAAAUAGCACCGCUACUAAAAAUAAACACAUAGCCACUGGUGGAGCUAACUUCAUUAUUUUAUUCAGUGAGCUGCCCUACCUUCUUCAGGUCGUCCGACUAGACAAGGAUUCGACGAUCAUCAGGCACAUACCACUCGUGGCUAGAGAUUGAACUUACUUUCUAUUGUUGGUGAGUCUUCAUGAUCCGAGUACAAAACAUUUAUACUUUCAUUGUUCCUAUGCUUUUAUUUCUUAUUAUGGGUGGGCUAGGAGCUUUUCUUAUGCCCCCACCUAUAAUUAGUAGAGGAAUGGUUAGAUGUUCAUUGAGUAUGUGGCUCCGUUUAUUCGGACGUAUUGUUUGAGUUUUCUUUCUAUUCGAGCUUACAGUUUGAGACUUA
This is a long non-coding RNA of Solanum dulcamara, 620 nucleotides long. RefSeq lists it as uncharacterized. Lineage: Eukaryota; Viridiplantae; Streptophyta; Magnoliopsida; Solanales; Solanaceae. The transcript is spliced from 2 exons. The record is from RefSeq and is a predicted model, not a curated record.